UACGUAGGGUGCGAGCGUUAAUCGAAAUUACUGGGCGUAAAGGGUGCGCAGGCGGUUCUGUAAGACCGGCGUGAAAUCCCCGGGCUCAACCUGGGAAUUGCGCUGGUGACUGCAGGGCUAGAGUACGGUAGAGGGGGGUGGAAUUCCUGGUGUAGCAGUGAAAUGCGUAGAGAUCAGGAGGAACACCGAUGGCGAAGGCAGCCCCCUGGGCCUGUACUGACGCUCAUGCACGAAAGCGUGGGGAGCAAACAGG
RNAcentral lists this ribosomal RNA (253 nucleotides) under uncultured microorganism. RNAcentral describes it as "partial 16S ribosomal RNA". It matches the Rfam family "Bacterial small subunit ribosomal RNA", at positions 524 to 776 of the family's 1533-position model. The record is from RNAcentral.